AGCGUAGGCGGUUCUGCAAGUCAGAAGUGAAAGGCUACGGCUCAACCGUGGUAAGCUUUUGAAACUGCAAGACUAGAGUGCAGGAGAGGCAAGUGGAAUUCCUAGUGUAGAGGUGAAAUUCGUAGAUAUUAGGAGGAACACCAGUGGCGAAGGCGACUUGCUGGACUGUAACUGACGCUGAGGCUCGAAAGCGUGGGGAGCGAACA
This 206-nucleotide ribosomal RNA is filed under the name uncultured bacterium. RNAcentral's name for it is "partial 16S ribosomal RNA". It matches the Rfam family "Bacterial small subunit ribosomal RNA", at positions 568 to 774 of the family's 1533-position model. The record is from RNAcentral.